UACGGGGGGGGCAAGCGUUGUUCGGAAUUACUGGGCGUAAAGGGUUCGUAGGUGGCCAACUAAGUCAGAUGUGAAAUCCCUCAGCUUAACUGGGGAACUGCGUCUGAUACUGGUUGGCUUGAGUGCAGGAGAGGAACGCGGAAUUCCAGGUGUAGCGGUGAAAUGCGUAGAUAUCUGGAGGAACACCGGUGGCGAAGGCGGCGUUCUGGACUGCAACUGACACUGAGGAACGAAAGCCAGGGGAGCAAACGGG
This 253-nucleotide ribosomal RNA is filed under the name uncultured bacterium. RNAcentral's name for it is "partial 16S ribosomal RNA". It matches the Rfam family "Bacterial small subunit ribosomal RNA", at positions 524 to 776 of the family's 1533-position model. The record is from RNAcentral.